GAUGAAGAACGCAGCGAAAUGCGAUAAGUAAUGUGAAUUGCAGAAUUCAGUGAAUCAUCGAAUCUUUGAACGCACAUUGCGCCCCCUGGUAUUCCGGGGGGCAUGCCUGUUCGAGCGUCAUUUCACCACUCAAGCCUCGCUUGGUAUUGGGCAACGCGGUCCGCCGCGUGCCUCAAAUCGUCCGGCUGGGUCUUCUGUCCCCUAAGCGUUGCGGAAACUAUUCGCUAAAGGGUGUUCGGGAGGCUACGCCGUAAAACAACCCCAUUUCUAAGGUUGACCUCGGAUCAGGUAGGGAUACCCGCUGAACUUAAGCAUAUCAAUAAGCGGAGGA
RNAcentral lists this unclassified non-coding RNA (331 nucleotides) under soil metagenome. RNAcentral describes it as "partial contains 5.8S ribosomal RNA, internal transcribed spacer 2, and large subunit ribosomal RNA". The stretch from base 1 to 120 matches the Rfam family "5.8S ribosomal RNA", at positions 35 to 154 of the family's 154-position model. The record is from RNAcentral.